GGAAAAUGAAUGAUGGGAACAGAUGCAUGGAGACGGGAUGGGAAGAAGUGAGACAAGUUUAGGAAGAACUGAUGAAGUACACCUGCUAAUAACUGAGAAGGAAUAUUGAAUUAAAAUAUCACUGAUCUGGAAACAAUCAACAAAAUAAUGCAUUCAGAGAACGAACAUCAACAGCUGCUAACAUCACAAAGAAGGAACACCAACCAAUACGUGCCUCUGGCAGGAGUACACAGCACCUCCCAUGCAGUAUUUCAAAAUAAAAUCUCAACAGAAUCAGGAUAGCCUGUAGAGGAUAACUACGAUUUUACAGGAAAUGCAGAGGACAGAGAUUCAAACACCACCAUGGGAAUGCAGUCAGAAAAACCCAGAGUGUGGGGAAGGAAACCUACGUGACACACAACCUGAUUUGUUCAAAGAAAAAACUUUUAAGAAUAGAGAACCUUUAGAUCGUCACUGUCUAAUAAGGUACCCUCUUGUCAUACUUGACAUGUGGCUGGUACAAAUUGAGAUGUGCUAUAAAAUAAGCAUACACUGGAUUUUGAAAGCUUAGUUCAAAAAAAAAGCAUGAAAAAUGUAAUAUAAAAAUUUACUGGGGAAAAAAAAAUUUAUUGGGGGACUGCCCUGGUGGCGGGCACAGUGGUUAAGAAUCUGCCUGCCAAUGCAGGGGACACGGGUUCGAGCCCUGGUCCGGGAAGAUCCCACACAUGCCACAGAGCAACUAAGCCUGUGCGCCCAACUACUGAGCCCGCGCUCCUCAACAAGAGAAGCCACCAGGAUGAGAAGCCUGGGCACCACAACGAAGAGUAGCCCCCACUCACCGCAACUAGAGAAAGCCUGCACACAACGAAGACCCAACGUAGCCAAAAAUUUUAAAAAAUAAUAAAUUAAUUACAAAAAUUUA
Lagenorhynchus albirostris (white-beaked dolphin) is the source of this 901-nucleotide long non-coding RNA. RefSeq lists it as uncharacterized. The transcript is spliced from 2 exons. The record is from RefSeq and is a predicted model, not a curated record. NCBI's taxonomy places the organism in Eukaryota, Metazoa, Chordata, Mammalia, Artiodactyla, Delphinidae.